UCCCUAGUGGCUCAGAUGGUAAAGCAUCUGCCUCCAAUGCAGGAGACCCAGGUUUGAUCCCUGGGUUGGGAA
Molecule: transfer RNA, 72 nt
Filed under: Bos taurus (domestic cattle)
Lineage: Eukaryota; Metazoa; Chordata; Mammalia; Artiodactyla; Bovidae
Also listed under: 5 other names
Rfam family: tRNA
About the family: Transfer RNA (tRNA) molecules are approximately 80 nucleotides in length. Their secondary structure includes four short double-helical elements and three loops (D, anti-codon, and T loops).
Source: Rfam by way of RNAcentral